AUACGAAGGGGGCAAGCGUUACUCGGAAUUACUGGGCGUAAAGCGUGCGUAGGUGGUUGUUUAAGUCUGUCGUGAAAGCCCUGGGCUCAACCUGGGAAUGGCGAUGGAAACUGGGCGCCUAGAGUGAGGCUGAGGGUAGUGGAAUUCAUGGUGUAGCAGUAAAAUGCGUAGAGAUGAGGUAGAACAUCCGUGGCGAAGGCGUCUGCCUGGGUCAAGACUGACACUGAGGCACGAAAGCGUGGGGAGCAAACAGGAUUAGAUACCCUGGUAGUCCACGCCCUAAACGAUGCGAACUGGAUGUUGGGUUCAAUUUGGCACGAAGUAUCGAAGCUAACGCGUUAAGUUCUCCGCCUGGGGAGUUCGGUCGCAAGACUGAAACUCAAAUGAAUUGACGGG
Molecule: ribosomal RNA, 396 nt
Filed under: uncultured bacterium
Lineage: Bacteria
Description: partial 16S ribosomal RNA
Rfam family: Bacterial small subunit ribosomal RNA
Source: RNAcentral